RNAcentral lists this ribosomal RNA (641 nucleotides) under uncultured Vibrio sp. RNAcentral describes it as "bacterial SSU rRNA". It matches the Rfam family "Bacterial small subunit ribosomal RNA", at positions 50 to 670 of the family's 1533-position model. The record is from RNAcentral. Lineage: Bacteria; Pseudomonadati; Pseudomonadota; Gammaproteobacteria; Vibrionales; Vibrionaceae.
AACACAUGCAAGUCGAGCGGAAACGAGUUAUCUGAACCUUCGGGGAACGAUAACGGCGUCGAGCGGCGGACGGGUGAGUAAUGCCUGGGAAUAUGCCUUGAUGUGGGGGAUAACUAUUGGAAACGAUAGCUAAUACCGCAUAAUGCCUUCGGGCCAAAGAGGGGGACCUUCGGGCCUCUCGCGUCAAGAUUAGCCCAGGUGGGAUUAGCUAGUUGGUGAGGUAAAGGCUCACCAAGGCAACGAUCCCUAGCUGGUCUGAGAGGAUGAUCAGCCACACUGGAACUGAGACACGGUCCAGACUCCUACGGGAGGCAGCAGUGGGGAAUAUUGCACAAUGGGCGCAAGCCUGAUGCAGCCAUGCCGCGUGUGUGAAGAAGGCCUUCGGGUUGUAAAGCACUUUCAGCAGUGAGGAAGGCAUUGUCGUUAAUAGCGGCAGUGUUUGACGUUAGCUGCAGAAGAAGCACCGGCUAACUCCGUGCCAGCAGCCGCGGUAAUACGGAGGGUGCGAGCGUUAAUCGGAAUUACUGGGCGUAAAGCGCAUGCAGGUGGUUAGUUAAGUCAGAUGUGAAAGCCCGAGGCUCAACCUCGGAACUGCAUUUGAAACUGGCUGACUAGAGUACUGUAGAGGGGGGUAGAAUUUC